RNAcentral lists this ribosomal RNA (550 nucleotides) under uncultured bacterium. RNAcentral describes it as "bacterial SSU rRNA". It matches the Rfam family "Bacterial small subunit ribosomal RNA", at positions 355 to 896 of the family's 1533-position model. The record is from RNAcentral.
UAGGGAAUCUUCGGCAAUGGACGGAAGUCUGACCGAGCAACGCCGCGUGAGUGAAGAAGGUUUUCGGAUCGUAAAGCUCUGUUGUAAGAGAAGAACGAGUGUGAGAGUGGAAAGUUCACACUGUGACGGUAUCUUACCAGAAAGGAACGGCUAACUACGUGCUAGCAGCCGCGGUAAUACGUAGGUCCCGAGCGUUGUCCGGAUUUAUUGGGCGUAAAGCGAGCGCAGGCGGUUAGAUAAGUCUGAAGUUAAAGGCUGUGGCUUAACCAUAGUACGCUUUGGAAACUGUUUAACUUGAGUGCAAGAGGGGAGAGUGGAAUUCCAUGUGUAGCGGUGAAAUGCGUAGAUAUAUGGAGGAACACCGGUGGCGAAAGCGGCUCUCUGGCUUGUAACUGACGCUGAGGCUCGAAAGCGUGGGGAGCAAACAGGAUUAGAUACCCUGGUAGUCCACGCCGUAAACGAUGAGUGCUAGGUGUUAGACCCUUUCCGGGGUUUAGUGCCGUAGCUAACGCAUUAAGCACUCCGCCUGGGGAGUACGACCGCAAGGUUG